UCCCCAAAGGCAGGUAAACAAGGCUGGA
RNAcentral lists this non-coding RNA (28 nucleotides) under Homo sapiens (human). The record is from RNAcentral. Lineage: Eukaryota; Metazoa; Chordata; Mammalia; Primates; Hominidae.